CCUACGGGAGACAGCAGUGGGGAAUAUUGCACAAUGGGGGGAACCCUGAUGCAGCGACGCCGCGUGGGUGAAGGAGUAUUUCGGUAUGUAAAGCCCUAUCAGCAGGGAAGAACAAUGACGGUACCUGACUAAGAAGCACCGGCUAAAUACGUGCCAGCAGCCGCGGUAAUACGUAUGGUGCAAGCGUUAUCCGGAUUUACUGGGUGUAAAGGGAGCGCAGGCGGCGCGUUAAGCCUGGUGUGAAAGUCCGCGGCCCAACCGCGGGACUGCAUUGGGAACUGGCGCGCUGGAGUGCCGGAGGGGUAGGCGGAAUUCCUAGGGUAGCGGUGAAAUGCGUAGAUAUUAGGAGGAACACCAGUGGCGAAGGCGGCCUACUGGACGGUGACUGACGCUGAGGCUCGAAAGCGUGGGGAGCAAACAGGAUUAGAUACCCGGGUAGUC
RNAcentral lists this ribosomal RNA (441 nucleotides) under uncultured bacterium. Its description in RNAcentral is "partial 16S ribosomal RNA". It matches the Rfam family "Bacterial small subunit ribosomal RNA", at positions 338 to 795 of the family's 1533-position model. The record is from RNAcentral.